CUUCAGUUGAGGGAUCCCUCAAAUAGUGUUAUUUGAGGGAUGGGGUGCUUAACCGUUGGAUCUGUUUUAAUGACCUUGUGUGGCUGAGAUUGAAUUACAUCUUUUAACCCGUUUUCACACUCCUGACCCGCCACAAACUCCACUUACGCUUGGGAACGACGUACGCUGGGAAACCUAACAUCUUUCUUCUUCCUCCAACUCUUGGAGACCUUUCACGCGUACCAAACGACGUGAAGAAGAAGACUCACCGUCGUCAGUUGAAGAAGAAGACCCACCAUCGUCAGUUGAAGAAGAAGACCCACCAUCUAUGCGACAGAGGGACGAAGUGCUGCUAGAACAAGAUGUCAACCCAAUUCAGGAUGAGGGUCCAGUAAUUCACAACAGUACUUCUCAGUUACAAAGUAGUAAAAGAUGAUUGUUGAUUUUGCUAUACUAGUUCAGUAUCUUAGUUCAAUCUCAUGGGGCUCUGUUUUUUGUACAUCAGAUAGAAUAGAAGGUUUGUAGUGGAGUAAUCUAGUUCGUUCACUCUUGAAGUCCAACAUCUGAUGUACUCUGGAUCUAAUCUUUGCUGGUGUUCGUUUAAGCUCAAUAAAGAUUUUGUAGCUCUUUUCUGUAAUAAGGAUGGAUUUUGUAGCUCUUUUCUGUAAUGGAUGUUGUACAAAAUUGUUUUUCCCUUCUGUAAUGAAUACUCGAUGUUAUUAAGUUUAUUUUAUCUUAGUAAUGAAAACUUUAUUCAGUUCAUAGUGUGGCAGUUUUUC
Long non-coding RNA from Prunus persica (peach), 758 nucleotides. RefSeq lists it as uncharacterized. The record is from RefSeq and is a predicted model, not a curated record. Lineage: Eukaryota; Viridiplantae; Streptophyta; Magnoliopsida; Rosales; Rosaceae. The transcript has 3 exons.